UGGGCUGGGGCGGGGUGGAGCAGAGCCGGAAGCGGGAGGGGAGAGUGAAACAGGAAAAGAAGGGAAGAAGGCAGAAGAGGGAAGAGGAGGAGAGGGAGGAGGAGGAGGGAGGUGGCGGCGCCGUGGCGGAGGAGCAGGAGCAGGAGGGGGAUGGAGAGGAGAAGGCUCCUGGGUGGCAUGGCGCUCCUGCUCCUCCAGGCGCUGCCCAGCCCCCUGUCAGCCAGGGCUGAACCCCCGCAGAAUGUUGCCUUUCUCUGUGGGACGGGCCCACUGUCCCCCAAACUGUCCUCACUGAAGUGAGAUGAUCCUUGAUACUGGAAGUGAGUAGUCUCCAGCAAAACUGGGGUGUUCCUGCCUGUGUUGGAAUAUGUCAUGGACAGAGACCCCUGGCCCAAGGGGCUAUUUAUAGUCUAGAUAGUGGGAGCUGGUACUACAGGCCCUUGAUUGGCCCGAUGCUGAAUGUAACAGGGCAACCAGAAUGUUGAACCCCAGCUAUUCCCUGGCCUAAUAAGAGGUCUUAGGGUCUCACAAGGACAACACUGAAAAUGCCACGGUGGUAAGCCAGCCUACAGGUGCAGGAUGGGAGCCAUCACUCGGAGAGGGAAGAGGGAAUUUGCCAACUUCUAACUUAACCCCUAACCUGCUGAAUGUUAGCCAACAUUACGUGGUAAUAUUGUUUGCUUGUUAUUUGUUAUUUGUUAUUUCAUCAUGACAGCCACCAUGAGGGAGGAGGUCUUAGCUCCUUUCUAUUGUGAGGAAACCCAAGCUCAGGAAGUUUUUCUCUUUAGUAUCACACGACUAAUGUGUGUCUGUGGCAGCACCGGAGGCCAGGGCUGAGGGAGUCAUGUUGUCCUCUUGUAUGUUCCUUUGGUAUGGUACCUGCACCCAAAUCUGCCAGACCUUCCCCCUGUGUGCCCUGCGCUCUGCCAACAACCAAGUAUU
Molecule: long non-coding RNA, 942 nt
Filed under: Zalophus californianus (California sea lion)
Lineage: Eukaryota; Metazoa; Chordata; Mammalia; Carnivora; Otariidae
Description: lncRNA (ENSZCAG00015021549.1)
Source: RNAcentral